Dromaius novaehollandiae (emu) is the source of this 3533-nucleotide long non-coding RNA. RefSeq lists it as uncharacterized. The record is from RefSeq and is a predicted model, not a curated record. The transcript is spliced from 5 exons. NCBI's taxonomy places the organism in Eukaryota, Metazoa, Chordata, Aves, Casuariiformes, Dromaiidae.
AGGCGGGUGUCUCCCCUCAGAGCGCUGCGCGCCCGCGGCCUGCGCGCGCCUCGCCUCCCCUCGCCUCCCCUCGCCUCCCCUCGCCUCACGGCGCCCCGGGCGCGAAGCGGCCGCUGCGGCCUGUCCCGGCCCGCCGAGCCGAGCCGAGCCGAGCCGAGCCGAGCGGGGCGGCCUCAGCCUCAGCCUCGGCCUCGGCGCCUUCCUGCCGGGCCCGGGGGUCGCGGGGCCGCUCGGGAGCCCGGGGCGUUUUCUCUGCUGACACCGCUGAGAGGAUUUCUGCCCGCUUUGGACAGACUGCAGGCUGUGCUGAUUGAUCAGAAUACAUCCUCCUCACUAACCAGAAUCUACGUUAGAAAAGUCUCAGAGCUACAUGGAACAGUUCCAGUGACUCUCAUCCCUCAAACUGCUCGCAGCUGUCUGCUACCUGGAUGUUACUGUCCAAAAGAGCUCAGCUGGCAGAAGGGAACCUCUGAGCACUUUGUGCCGUUAGCCAACUGAACUAGACCAGCUUCAUCAACAGUGCAGGCUGAGCCGGCUGCCCUGUUACUGAAGCGCCUAAGAUGUGCUCCCACUUUCCACUUCAGCAGAGGCUGUAGCAGCCUGUCAGCAACAUCCACGACUGCAAUCCCCAGCAAGACCCAAGAAAGACCUGUCGACCUGUGUAAGUAACCACUGAGGUACUUCUGUAAAAUUUUCUUGAAACACUUGGUCAAGACUUCUGCUGAAGACAGACCUAACAGGACAGAAGUUCUUCUGUUACCCUGUGGUACACCUGUGAAGACAGGUUGGUUGUAUAAGUGCCACUGUCAGCAGAGCAAAUCCGAUGAGUCACUUAAGAGAAAAGAGUAACUUCUUAAGAGGUAAGUUGAAAGUCACUUUUUUCUUUUAUAAAAAUCAAGACUCUCUUCUUGCAGACUUGCAAAAAAAUAAUAGAGAAGCAACCUCAAAUGUAACUUGGCUUUUAGUGGCUAAAUAUCAGAGCAAAUUUAAAGAGUUUAUUAAAAAUAAGGUGGGUUAAAAGUAACAUUACAUCAUAACUUUUAAUAGUUUAUGAAUAAUGUCAUGUACUCUCCAUUUUUGUUCAGUGAUUUCUAUAAAACAAUAGAAAAUUCAUGAGAGGAAACAAGCUGUAUCGAACGUUAACUUUAGAUGUCACCUUUGAUUUUGUAAAGUUUACAUUAAAACUGAAAAAUUCAGAUCCAUAUGUGAAUUCUUAUUUUAGCACUAUUUAUGGGGUACUGAAGUAGAAGAUGCUUUUUCAGACUCUUAAGCUUCAAUUGCAUGACAAAACAGCAUUUUAUACAAAUAGAGUAAUUGCAACAGUGGUAAUUCAAAGCUGCACAGUUACGUCAAUGGCAUUAAGUGUCAUUUGGGACACUACACACAGAAAAAUGGCCAGCAUUUGCCAUGCUGCCAACUAACUAUGGAAGUUCAUUUUCUUUUUUCAAAAUGCUGAAGAAAUAGGUAAAAAUGUUCAUAUUCACUGGGCAACAGGGAGAUGAAUUAUGAAAAUCUAGGACUUAACCCUAAAAUCCUUCCUAUUUGUUGCUGUGAGUUCUGGACUAUGGCUAUAUCAAAGAGAGAUUGGUAUGGAGUAAAGAGAAAACACUGGCCAGCCUAUGUGUAGGCUGUUCUUGUAUUUCACUUAAAAAUAUAAGCCAAUUACAUGGAAAAACAAAUCAGAGUGACGUGAAUUAGUGACAUUUGAUCACGUUUAACUACCAUGUAAGUGAAUAGAAAAAACAACAGAUGACAAACGCAUUUAAUCAUUCCUCUCCACCAAAACUAUCAAAAGAUUUCACUCACAUAUGAUUCUUCUUCCCCAUUUAUUUUAGACAAUAGCAAAACAUCAAGGGACCUGCAGUAUGAGUAAAGUUUCCCAAGAAAGCUCCACAACACGAUCCACCCCGAUGCCCCAAAACCCUAAUUCCUCCCCAAAAUAACAAGUAGCAUCCCAAAUCUUCUCAAAGAGCAUUCAAAUGCAGUAGGCAAUGGCCAAGCCCUCACUAAUGCAAAGUCAGCUCAAACUGCACAGAUUCUUACAUACAGAACUUAAUUUAUCCAAAAAACACCCUUCUAUUGCCCAUCGUGUAUAUUCUAUCAAAUGCUUUCUGUCUGUAUCAAAUCAGAGCUGUGGCAAAGAAGUCCCAACAGCCUGGGUUAAGUGGAUCAUAUUUAGUCACCAGAUGUUCAAGAGAAACCUCUGUGAUUAUGAAAUCCCUGUUAUCACCAUGAAUUAAUGUAAUAAAGGUCCCAACAAUGUGCUUAUUAAGUAAUGGCCGAUAUGGUAUUACAUGUCAAUAGUUUGACAUUUUCAGAAAAGGAAACUAUUAGCAGAUUCAUCUACAGGAGAAAAAAUUAAGCUUGUUCAAACCACAACCAUGCUAUGAAAAGAAGGCAAAGAAUAAGCAGCUCCAUGUUCUAGAAAACUGACUUAAUUUUUAAGUUUAAUACCUGUUACUGAUUAUAGCACUUCUGCCAUGUUUCAUUUGAAAUAAUACCUACCAAAAGGCACAAAAAUCCAAAACAGUAAGAAAAUAAUGCAUUUGGGAAUGUAGGAAAACAGUAAUAAGAAUUUUUAUGGUGUCAUUAUGAAAGCCAGUAAAGAUACUAUUACUGCCAAAAUCUGUAUGCUAAGGUUCCUUCUUACCUGUUUGUCCUCUGCGGUAUGCUUUAAGGGACUUAUGAUGCACCUCACUAAUGACAGUGAAACAUUAGUUAGUGAAACUGUUUAACAUCAGUCACUGAAAUAUUGUAUUAGAAUACUACCAGAAAGUGACUUUUCACAUAACCUGUUAGAUAUUUUUCUUAAAAAUGGAAAAGCAUCAAUUAUGUUGUAAUAAUUAGUUCAGUGUUUCCUUUAAAAACACCAUCCGUGUAGGAGAAAAAAUUGUUGCAUCAGAUCUACCAGAGAACAAGCCACAGAACGUGUUUAAACAACAUUACAAUGAAAUUUAGCUGAAGUCAAAACUUUCCUGAAUUUGCCUAAUAGCAUAUCAUCACUGAAGCCCAGAGUUUUGGUUUUACAAUUUUUCAGAUCACCUUUACAUAUAGAAAUAAGAUGUAUGCUAGCUUAUACUUAGCCACUGGGCUUUCUGCGCUAACUACAGGUAGGGGAUAUAGCUAGCUUUAUUAUAAUCAAGCUAAUGCUUCCACAUUACUGUUGUUGUAAGGUCAGGUAAACAACGCUAUCUAUCAAGAGUUAAGAUCUCCUAAAACAUAGAUCAGACUGGAAAGCUAGGAACAAAACUGUCAUGACACGGUACACCAUCGCUUCACAGAAACAUUUCCAAGGCAACUAACAGCAACCAGGUGUUGUUGGGCAGAAAAGAAGGGUAGAAGGGCAGCGUAACACCCAGCCUCUGCACUGACUGAAUCCUUUUGGGGAAGAGGGCAGUAAUCCCACAGCUAUAUUCGUAGCUGUAUGCAGACAUGAGUCAAGAUGGAAGAACCAUUCCUGUCUAGUACCAUUUCCAUCCGCAUCAUGUAUUUUUAUUUUAUUUCAAAACAGAAGCAAAACCAAGAAAAGAAAA